GGGUUGUGAGGUUAAGCGACUAAGCGUACACGGUGGAUGCCCUGGCAGUCAGAGGCGAUGAAGGACGUGCUAAUCUGCGAUAAGCGUCGGUAAGGUGAUAUGAACCGUUAUAACCGGCGAUUUCCGAAUGGGGAAACCCAGUGUGAUUCGUCACACUAUCAUUAACUGAAUCCAUAGGUUAAUGAGGCGAACCGGGGGAACUGAAACAUCUAAGUACCCCGAGGAAAAGAAAUCAACCGAGAUUCCCCCAGUAGCGGCGAGCGAACGGGGAGGAGCCCAGAGCCUGAAUCAGUGUGUGUGUUAGUGGAAGCGUCUGGAAAGGCGCGCGAUACAGGGUGACAGCCCCGUACACAAAAAUGCACAUGCUGUGAGCUCGAUGAGUAGGGCGGGACACGUGGUAUCCUGUCUGAAUAUGGGGGGACCAUCCUCCAAGGCUAAAUACUCCUGACUGACCGAUAGUGAACCAGUACCGUGAGGGAAAGGCGAAAAGAACCCCGGCGAGGGGAGUGAAAAAGAACCUGAAACCGUGUACGUACAAGCAGUAGGAGCACAGAGCAAUCUGUGUGACUGCGUACCUUUUGUAUAAUGGGUCAGCGACUUAUAUUCUGUAGCAAGGUUAACCGAAUAGGGGAGCCGAAGGGAAACCGAGUCUUAACUGGGCGUUAAGUUGCAGGGUAUAGACCCGAAACCCGGUGAUCUAGCCAUGGGCAGGUUGAAGGUUGGGUAACACUAACUGGAGGACCGAACCGACUAAUGUUGAAAAAUUAGCGGAUGACUUGUGGCUGGGGGUGAAAGGCCAAUCAAACCGGGAGAUAGCUGGUUCUCCCCGAAAGCUAUUUAGGUAGCGCCUCGUGAAUUCAUCUCCGGGGGUAGAGCACUGUUUCGGCAAGGGGGUCAUCCCGACUUACCAACCCGAUGCAAACUGCGAAUACCGGAGAAUGUUAUCACGGGAGACACACGGCGGGUGCUAACGUCCGUCGUGAAGAGGGAAACAACCCAGACCGCCAGCUAAGGUCCCAAAGUCAUGGUUAAGUGGGAAACGAUGUGGGAAGGCCCAGACAGCCAGGAUGUUGGCUUAGAAGCAGCCAUCAUUUAAAGAAAGCGUAAUAGCUCACUGGUCGAGUCGGCCUGCGCGGAAGAUGUAACGGGGCUAAACCAUGCACCGAAGCUGCGGCAGCGACACUGUGUGUUGUUGGGUAGGGGAGCGUUCUGUAAGCCUGUGAAGGUGUGCUGUGAGGCAUGCUGGAGGUAUCAGAAGUGCGAAUGCUGACAUAAGUAACGAUAAAGCGGGUGAAAAGCCCGCUCGCCGGAAGACCAAGGGUUCCUGUCCAACGUUAAUCGGGGCAGGGUGAGUCGACCCCUAAGGCGAGGCCGAAAGGCGUAGUCGAUGGGAAACAGGUUAAUAUUCCUGUACUUGGUGUUACUGCGAAGGGGGGACGGAGAAGGCUAUGUUGGCCGGGCGACGGUUGUCCCGGUUUAAGCGUGUAGGCUGGUUUUCCAGGCAAAUCCGGAAAAUCAAGGCUGAGGCGUGAUGACGAGGCACUACGGUGCUGAAGCAACAAAUGCCCUGCUUCCAGGAAAAGCCUCUAAGCAUCAGGUAACAUCAAAUCGUACCCCAAACCGACACAGGUGGUCAGGUAGAGAAUACCAAGGCGCUUGAGAGAACUCGGGUGAAGGAACUAGGCAAAAUGGUGCCGUAACUUCGGGAGAAGGCACGCUGAUAUGUAGGUGAAGUCCCUCGCGGAUGGAGCUGAAAUCAGUCGAAGAUACCAGCUGGCUGCAACUGUUUAUUAAAAACACAGCACUGUGCAAACACGAAAGUGGACGUAUACGGUGUGACGCCUGCCCGGUGCCGGAAGGUUAAUUGAUGGGGUCAGCGCAAGCGAAGCUCUUGAUCGAAGCCCCGGUAAACGGCGGCCGUAACUAUAACGGUCCUAAGGUAGCGAAAUUCCUUGUCGGGUAAGUUCCGACCUGCACGAAUGGCGUAAUGAUGGCCAGGCUGUCUCCACCCGAGACUCAGUGAAAUUGAACUCGCUGUGAAGAUGCAGUGUACCCGCGGCAAGACGGAAAGACCCCGUGAACCUUUACUAUAGCUUGACACUGAACAUUGAGCCUUGAUGUGUAGGAUAGGUGGGAGGCUUUGAAGUGUGGACGCCAGUCUGCAUGGAGCCGACCUUGAAAUACCACCCUUUAAUGUUUGAUGUUCUAACGUGGACCCGUGAUCCGGGUUGCGGACAGUGUCUGGUGGGUAGUUUGACUGGGGCGGUCUCCUCCUAAAGAGUAACGGAGGAGCACGAAGGUUGGCUAAUCCUGGUCGGACAUCAGGAGGUUAGUGCAAUGGCAUAAGCCAGCUUGACUGCGAGCGUGACGGCGCGAGCAGGUGCGAAAGCAGGUCAUAGUGAUCCGGUGGUUCUGAAUGGAAGGGCCAUCGCUCAACGGAUAAAAGGUACUCCGGGGAUAACAGGCUGAUACCGCCCAAGAGUUCAUAUCGACGGCGGUGUUUGGCACCUCGAUGUCGGCUCAUCACAUCCUGGGGCUGAAGUAGGUCCCAAGGGUAUGGCUGUUCGCCAUUUAAAGUGGUACGCGAGCUGGGUUUAGAACGUCGUGAGACAGUUCGGUCCCUAUCUGCCGUGGGCGCUGGAGAACUGAGGGGGGCUGCUCCUAGUACGAGAGGACCGGAGUGGACGCAUCACUGGUGUUCGGGUUGUCAUGCCAAUGGCACUGCCCGGUAGCUAAAUGCGGAAGAGAUAAGUGCUGAAAGCAUCUAAGCACGAAACUUGCCCCGAGAUGAGUUCUCCCUGACCCUUUAAGGGUCCUGAAGGAACGUUGAAGACGACGACGUUGAUAGGCCGGGUGUGUAAGCGCAGCGAUGCGUUGAGCUAACCGGUACUAAUGAACCGUGAGGCUUAACCUUACAACGCCGAAGGUGUUU
This 2932-nucleotide ribosomal RNA is filed under the name Escherichia coli. Its description in RNAcentral is "bacterial LSU rRNA". It matches the Rfam family "Bacterial large subunit ribosomal RNA". The record is from RNAcentral. Lineage: Bacteria; Pseudomonadati; Pseudomonadota; Gammaproteobacteria; Enterobacterales; Enterobacteriaceae.